RNAcentral lists this ribosomal RNA (305 nucleotides) under uncultured bacterium. RNAcentral's name for it is "bacterial SSU rRNA". It matches the Rfam family "Bacterial small subunit ribosomal RNA", at positions 337 to 639 of the family's 1533-position model. The record is from RNAcentral.
GCCUACGGGACGCAGCAGUGAGGAAUAUUGGUCAAUGGGCGCGAGCCUGAACCAGCCAAGUAGCGUGAAGGAUGACUGCCCUACGGGUUGUAAACUUCUUUUAUAAAGGAAUAAAGUGAGGCACGUGUGCCUUUUUGUAUGUACUUUAUGAAUAAGGAUCGGCUAACUCCGUGCCAGCAGCCGCGGUAAUACGGAGGAUCCGAGCGUUAUCCGGAUUUAUUGGGUUUAAAGGGUGCGUAGGUGGUUAAUUAAGUCAGCGGUGAAAGUUUGUGGCUCAACCAUAAAAUUGCCGUUGAAACUGGUUG